UACGAAGGGGGCUAGCGUUGUUCGGAUUUACUGGGCGUAAAGCGCACGUAGGCGGAUCGAUCAGUCAGGGGUGAAAUCCCAGAGCUCAACUCCAGAACUGCCUUCGAUACUGGGAGUCUUGGAGUCCGGGAGAGGUGAGUGGAACUGCGAGUGUAGAGGUGAAAUUCGUAGAUAUUCGCAAGAACACCAGUGGCGAAGGCGGCUCACUGGCCCGGUACUGACGCUGAGGUGCGAAAGCGUGGGGAGCAAACAGG
Molecule: ribosomal RNA, 254 nt
Filed under: uncultured bacterium
Lineage: Bacteria
Description: partial 16S ribosomal RNA
Rfam family: Bacterial small subunit ribosomal RNA
Source: RNAcentral